This 408-nucleotide ribosomal RNA is filed under the name uncultured bacterium. Its description in RNAcentral is "partial 16S ribosomal RNA". It matches the Rfam family "Bacterial small subunit ribosomal RNA", at positions 28 to 526 of the family's 1533-position model. The record is from RNAcentral.
GACGAACGCUGGCGGCGUGCUUAACACAUGCAAGUCGAACGAAGUGGCGAACGGGUGAGUAACGCGUAAUCAACCUGCCCUUCAGAGGGGGACAACAGUUGGAAACGACUGCUAAUACCGCAUACUGAAGGAGGGGAUUGCGUCUGAUUAGAUAGUUGGAGGGGGAACGGCCCACCAAGGCGAUGAGCCGUAGCGGGUCUGAGAGAAUUACCGGCCACAUUGGGACUGAGACACGGCCCAGACUCCUACGGGAGGCAGCCGUGGGGAAUCUUCCGCAAUGGACGAAAGUCUGACGGGGCAACGCCGCGUGAGUGAUGACGGCCUUCGGGUUGUAAAGCUCUGUUAAUCGUGACGCGGUGCCGGGAUAGAAAGCCACGGCUAACUACGUGCCAGCAGCCGCGGUAAUUC